Molecule: long non-coding RNA, 424 nt
Organism: Ictalurus punctatus (channel catfish)
Lineage: Eukaryota; Metazoa; Chordata; Actinopteri; Siluriformes; Ictaluridae
Source: Ensembl
GCCAGACAGCAAUCAAACCAUUGGUCAAACCCAGUCAUCUGCAUCUCAGGUCCAUUUCUCUCUCAUGUCCCAUACUCAGUCAGUGGGAUUUACCUUAUUGAUUAUGAAAAUGACAACAUGCCUUUUCUAUGUGCAUUUCCUUUUAAAAAGGAAUAUAUAAUACAUAAAUGAUAAUGUAAAUAAUACUAUGCAACAAUAGGACCCUAAUGCAGAUUCUCUAUUUUGUACUUGUCUAGGCAUUAUCCUGGGAUCUUUGGACGACAAAUACUGAGGCCCAGCCUGCUUCAGAUGCUGGUUUCAAUGCCAACUGGACGGCUGACUUUGGUUCUGCAGCUCAAGAUUUGGGAGAUGUUCAGCCUGCAACAGAUGGGCAAGGUUGGCCUCCUGCAGAAGGAUGGUCCACAGAUACAGUGCCCCAAGGAGA